UUAGUGGCGAACGGGUGAGUAACACGUGGGCAAUCUGCCCUGCACUCUGGGACAAGCCCUGGAAACGGGGUCUAAUACCGGAUAUGACACGGGAUCGCAUGGUCUCCGUGUGGAAAGCUCCGGCGGUGCAGGAUGAGCCCGCGGCCUAUCAGCUUGUUGGUGGGGUGAUGGCCUACCAAGGCGACGACGGGUAGCCGGCCUGAGAGGGCGACCGGCCACACUGGGACUGAGACACGGCCCAGACUCCUACGGGAGGCAGCAGUGGGGAAUAUUGCACAAUGGGCGCAAGCCUGAUGCAGCGACGCCGCGUGAGGGAUGACGGCCUUCGGGUUGUAAACCUCUUUCAGCAGGGAAGAAGCGCGAGUGACGGUACCUGCAGAAGAAGCACCGGCUAACUACGUGCCAGCAGCCGCGGUAAUACGUAGGGUGCGAGCGUUGUCCGGAAUUAUUGGGCGUAAAGAGCUCGUAGGCGGCUUGUCGCGUCGGAUGUGAAAGCCCGGGGCUUAACCCCGGGUCUGCAUUCGAUACGGGCAGGCUAGAGUUCGGCAGGGGAGAUUGGAAUUCCUGGUGUAGCGGUGAAAUGCGCAGAUAUCAGGAGGAACACCGGUGGCGAAGGCGGAUCUCUGGGCCGAUACUGACGCUGAGGAGCGAAAGCGUGGGGAGCGAACAGGAUUAGAUACCCUGGUAGUCCACGCCGUAAACGUUGG
This 707-nucleotide ribosomal RNA is filed under the name Streptomyces sp. KLBMP 1281. RNAcentral's name for it is "bacterial SSU rRNA". It matches the Rfam family "Bacterial small subunit ribosomal RNA", at positions 92 to 812 of the family's 1533-position model. Lineage: Bacteria; Bacillati; Actinomycetota; Actinomycetes; Kitasatosporales; Streptomycetaceae. The record is from RNAcentral.